Molecule: long non-coding RNA, 3795 nt
Filed under: Callithrix jacchus (white-tufted-ear marmoset)
Lineage: Eukaryota; Metazoa; Chordata; Mammalia; Primates; Cebidae
Description: lncRNA (ENSCJAG00000078322.1)
Source: RNAcentral
CACAUUUGAGAGUUUUACAUUAUAUGUGUUAAGUAAGCCCCCUAGCAGAUAGGCUUCAUGAGACAAAAGAAGCUGAUGCCUAGUACUAAGCAGGUCAGCUGACCUCUGGAACUAAACUGAUCCCUAGUACUAAACAGGGCUCAAUGAAUAUUUAUUGAAUGAAUGAAAUAAUUAAAACAUAGGAAAGAUGCAUAAUUCAAUCCAGGAGCAAAAGGGCCAAUGGAAGAACAUGCUCAUAGGACAGCCACAUAGACAAAGCAGUCUAUGUGAAUGGUGCCUCCCAGAGCUGGCCAGUGCACAGAAUGAGUGAUAUGGCCCUGGAAAUGCAGAUUUGUUUUAUACCUAAAUUGUGUCUAUGCAAAAGAUUCUUCAUGAUAUCUCCAUGGCCUUCUCGUUUCAGGCACUACUGGUGUGGCCUUAAGCACAACUGUUGCACCUGGAAGUUCCAGUACAGGUAGGCUAACAAGCUGAGAAGAAACCUCCUGUCUAGAAAUAAGAUGGCAAAAAUGUCCUUCGCAUUGCUCUUCUUGUGUAAGAGCAUCACAGUAUAUUUCCCCGUCCUUCUGAAUCCUCACUCUUUCCUCGUUGCUUCUCUUUUUCUUCCAGAAGCCACAACUUCCACGGGAGUCGGUAGAACCACUGUAGUGGGAUGGAAAACAGGAGCUACCACUAGAGGAUCAGCAAACCAAGGAACUGGAAGCACAAUAGGUAAAUAUGGCAGCAAAGUGGACCACUUGUCUUACUGCCAUUGAAUUCUAGAAAAAUGGAGUCCUCUGUUGAGGAAUUUGCAUCUUUAUUUGGUUUGGGAAUAAAACUAUGCAUGAGAAAAUACAGGCCGGGCACGGUGGCUCAACACUGUAAUCCUAGCACUUUGGGGGGCCAAGGUGGGUGGAUUACCUGAGGUCAGGAAUUCAAGACCAGCCUGGGCAACAUGGUGAAACCUCUUCUCUACUAAAAACACAAAAAAUUAUCCAAGUGUGGUGUCAGGAGCCUGUAAUCCCAGCUACUCAGGAAGCUGAAGCAAAAGAAUCACUUAGACCAGGGAGGUGGAGGUUGCAGUGAGAGAUGGUGCCAUUGCACUCAUGUCUGGAUGACAGAGUGAGACUAGGGUAGCUUCUGGCAUCACACCUAAACCUGCCAGCUGGUGAGAGUCCUCCACGGAAUGAUUUAGUAGUAAAGUGCCUCCCGUGGCACUGUUAUUAUGAAGAGUGCAUCCUUUAGUUUACUCACAAUUCUAAUUCCUCUCACCUCAUAUUUUCGUACCUUUUCUCUCUUAGAAGCUACAACAUCCUUUAGAGACACUGGGACCACAGGAUGUGGAAUGAAUACAGCUGAGCACACACGCUUCGUAACCUGUCCACUUUUCACUUAAAAUAAUAUCAAUAGUAGCUAACAGUUUCUAGCAUGAACUGUGUUCCAGGCACUAGUCCGCAUUUUUGUCAUUAUUGUUUCUUUUAUCUCUUAUCCCAAAUUGUGAGGUAAGCACUGAUGUUCUCACAGACUUUCCAGAUGAGGAACAGAUUGUUUUCUCAUCCAGAAAGUCUGUGAGAACUUUCCACAGAUUAUGGCUCAAAGAUAUUAACUAACUUAUUGACGAUCACACUGCAUGUAAACAACAGAUCUCAACUCAGGCACUCUGGCUUCAAAAUCCAUCCUCUUAACCAUGAUGCUAAAUCAUCACUCACUCAUUUGUCAUGUCUCCCAACUCUUCUAGAACACUGCAAUUUCUACAACACCAAUAUUUUACCCAAAUGAAAAUUCGAUAGGUAAUCAAUCCUGCUUUGUUCCUUCUUCUAGGGAUAUCAGGUGGCCAAGUCACUAGCACUCAACUAGGUAAGUAAAGUACCUUUGUUUUCCUGACGGCCCAGAAAAAGAGAUGUUCUCAUUGAGACUCCACCACCACCUCACACUGCACCCUUCCCCCAUCAAAUUUAUAGUGAGAAUGGAGCAUUACAUUUGAAAGCACACAAAAUAACUUUGGAACAGGCCAUCCCUGAAAAUGGUCUUUUUUCAUAAUGAAGGAUUCUGUAGUUGCCUCAUUCUAUUAUAGAUUGCGCCUUUAUUAUAAGAAUAAACUUGAUAUAGUGGUACCGUUCCAUUUUGUUUUAGGUACUACUGGAGUGGUCUCUGGCAACAUGUCACCUAGCAGUUCCAACACAGGGGAGUCAAUGAGGAAACAGAUGCUAUUUUCUUUUCUCGUUGGGGGGCUAACUUGGAAGCAAUGAGACAUUAUAUCUUUUGAUGAUUUUCUGUUAGCCCACACUAAUUUCUUUCUGUUUAUUCUUUGUAUUUAUUUCUUUUUAAACUUCCAUGGAAGGAAGAGUAACCAAUGAAAGUGGAAUUGGCAACCAUAUAUAUAUAUGAAUAUGAAUGAAAUAUAUAUAUAUAUAUAUAUAUAUGAAUGAGAGAAAUAAUGAGAAAUGAGAAAUAUAUAUCUUCUUGUGCCAGUCUCACUCUGUUGCCCAGGCUGGAGUAGAGUGGUGUGAUCUUGACCUACAGCUAAUUCCAUCUCUAGGGUUUAAGCAAUUCUCCUACCUCAGCCCAAGUAGCUGGGAUUAUAGGUGUCCACCACAACAACCAGCUGUUUUUUUUUUUUUUUUUUAAUUUUUAGUAGAGAUGGGUUUUCACCAUGUUGGCCAGGCUGAACGUGAACUCUUGUCCUCAAGUGGUCUGCCUGCCUUGGCCUCCCAAAGUGCUGGGAUAACAGGCGUGAGCUGCCACACCUGGCCAAAGCAUUGGCAACUCUUGAGUUCCUACAAAUCUACAUUGGGUUUUUGUCUUUUCAGAGAUAUUUGUUAAACAAAGCUUAUAUUUAUAAAGUCACAUUAUUUCUCCUGGGUCCCAACCUUAUACUUUAAUUAUAGAAAAAGAGGCUCAGAGUCCAGAAAGAUUCUCCUUUUAACACUCAAGCUAUACUCUGGUACAUACAAAGGCAACAUAAAUACAUAUAGCCAUAUUUAAGGCAGCAGAUAGAAGUUACUCUGGAGGUUUAGAUCUGUCAUGUUUUGGAAUUCAGAUGUUAUAAGUUUAUUGAAUCCAGUUGAAUACCUUUACACAAAUAUUGUUUUCAUUUCUUAAUGUUGUUAGAAGCUACCAGUGGCACAUCUGAGAGACAAAACCCUGGAAGUGAAACAGGUAAACAUGAAAGAGACCCAGACACCUCUGACAUUUAACUGUAAGGAGGCAAAUAAGGCUGGACUAUGAACUAAUGUGUUUACUGUGACUCUGAAUUUAAAAAUGGAGGACACUUCAUCAUGACAGGAUAGCACAAGGAAGGUCUGCUGCUGCUUUCAAGUCAUAGACAGUUAUAUUGGCCAUGCUCUUCUUGGGAUGGUAAAUGCAUCACCAUUUGGGUUCUUUCUCUCUCCCUGCUUUAGGCACCACUGGUAUAGUCUCUGGCACAACAGUUGCAUCUGGAAGUUCCAAUACAGGUAACCUAAUAGGAAUAAAAGGGGCCUCAGUCAGGAAUAUGACUGAGUCCCUCCCCCUAAACAUAUACACUCCUUACCAUACCCUGGAAACACCACCAGAUUGUCUCAGUUAUAGGAUUCUUCUGAAUUUAAUUUUUUCUCCUUUUACUUAGAGGCCACAACUUCUUUGGGCAAUGGUGGAACCACUGAGGCUGGAAGUAAAAUAGGUGGGCACUAGCAAUCAAAUAAUUAUUUUUCUUUUCAUCUUAAAUUAAAUCAAAUGGGCUAUAAUGAACUUAGUGGACAUUUUACUCAGUCACUAAGUACAUAUUACCAGGAAAUUAACAGUUUACUCCCUGUGAAUUUUCCUUUACUUAAAACUUGC